UCGUUGUUGUCGUUGUUGUUAGUGUUGUCGUCGUCGAAGUCGUCGUGAUCCUCAUCCUCGUCGUCUUCGUCAUUUUCGCCGUCUUCGUUGUUCUCGUCAUUGUCGUUGUUGUUGAUGCUGCUAUUGUUGUCGUUGUUGUCGUUGUUGUCGUUGUUGUCGUUGUUGUUGUUGUUGUUGUUAUCGUUGUUGUCGUUGUUCUCAUCACUGUCAUUGUGGUCAUCGCUGUAAUCGUUGCCGUUGUUG
Molecule: long non-coding RNA, 243 nt
Filed under: Hordeum vulgare
Lineage: Eukaryota; Viridiplantae; Streptophyta; Magnoliopsida; Poales; Poaceae
Description: long non-coding RNA (HVUL_LNC019062)
Source: RNAcentral